AACAAUAAGUGUAGUUACUUCAAUACACAUUAAAAAAUUACCAACCCGCCUGGUGUUCACGAAGAUGACGCUCUGAGUGAUGGCCAGCGUCUCGUAGAGGUCGCAGAGCGUCUCGAGCUUCCACUCCUCCUUCUCAACGUUGACGUAAAACUGCUUGAUACCUUCCAAGGUGAGCUCGUCGCGCUUCACCAGGAUCCUCACCGGCUUGCUCAUGAACUUCCUCGUGAUCUCGAGAGCCUCCGGCGGCAUGGUCGCCGAGAAGACACCCCAUCACAACAAAGAUUCACACGAAUACAGGCGAGGAAACAAUCGAGAAACUGAACCUAAUCAACAGAACAUAUAAUCAAAAAAUAGAAUCUAGGAAACCAAGUACGACCAACUACAUCGAUAAAAUGACUCUAAUCUACCAAACAAAUCUUCACAACUAAAAUCAAAGAACCCAUCAUGCGGAGGAAGUAGAUCGAGAACGACAAAUGAACACAUACCUUUUUUAAUUGAAAACAAACGGCGGGGAAUGGGCUUCGAGACAGGCUCGGGAUUGACUCGUGAGGAAUUCGUGACCGAUUCGGGGGAGAUGAGAGGAGAGAUAAGAGGAGAAAACAGCGAUCACGUCGUCGGUAUACUAUCGCCACAUGAGUCGCCAGAGAGAGAAUCAGAAGACGGUGCGAUCGAUAAUCUGAAACGAAACGAGGGUUUCCCCUACCCGACGACACCGUUUCAUCUCCACUCGACAGCUGGCAAGGAAAGACGACAUAAGAACGACCUUAGUUAAGAUUCGUCCCGCACAAUUAAACCCAUUUUCGAUUUAUUUUUCGGCCCAAAAUACUUAAGGACCAAAGUUCGGACCGCCGAUAAUCAUGGCCUAACUACUUCUGCACCGAGAUAUGAAAAUGUUUAAAACCAAAACUUUCACGACAAGAUUUGAUACAAAGGAAGAUAAGAAAAGACAACAAGCCAGAAACAAAUACUCCAUAUGAUUUUAAAAAUAAAAAUGGUCACAAGAGAGAGAGAGAUAUGUUCUUAGGAACAGAAGAGGUGACAAAACACGAGAAAAUGUAAACAAACCGCUUAUGGAAAGAGAGAUGAAGAUGAGAUCAAAAUCAGAUCAAAGAGUGCGUGCCUUAACAAACAAGUAAAAACCUUUCUUCUCCGGUAGACAAUGCCAAAGUUUCUCCCCUUCACAGCAGAUCAGCAACGUUCGAAGGCAGCUCCUCAACAACCACGUUGUAAAACUUCUGAAUAUCAAACAGCAUCCUCUCAUCAUCCUUCGUCACGAAGUUGAUCGCCACACCUUUCCUCCCAAACCUCCCACUUCUUCCGAUACGGUGAAGGUAGUUCUCAGGCUGAGUCGGCAGAUCGUAGUUGAUCACCAGAGACACCUGCUGAACAUCGAUACCACGAGCCAAGAGAUCAGUCGUGAUCAACACACGAGAUGAACCAGACCUGAACUCUCUCAUGAUAAUGUCUCUCGUGUUCUGGUCCAUGUCUCCGUGAGUUGCAGAGACUGUAUGGUCACGCCCCCUCAUUUUAUCAGUGAGCCAGUCAACCUUCCGCCUAGUGUUGACAAAGAUGACGCUCUGAGUGAUGGCCAGCGUCUCGUAGAGGUCGCAGAGCGUCUCGAGCUUCCAGUCUUCCUUCUCAACGUUGACGUAGAACUGCUUGAUACCUUCUAAAGUAAGCUCGUCGCGCUUCACAAGAAUCCUCACCGGCUUGCUCAUGAACUUCCUCGUGAUCUCGAGAGCCUCCGGCGGCAUGGUGGCCGAGAACACUCCCACCUGGAUCUUCGGGGGGAGGAGCUGGAAGAUGUCGUAGAUCUGGUCCUUGAACCCGCGGGAGAGCAUCUCGUCGGCCUCAUCAAGAACGAACAUCUUGAUGUGGUCGGCGCGGAGGGACUGGCGCUUCAGCAUGUCGAACACGCGCCCCGGGGUGCCGACGACGACGUGGACGCCGGCCUGGAGGAUGCGCUGGUCCUCGCGGACGCUGGUCCCGCCGACGCAGGCGUGGACCUUGACGCCGAGGUAGUCGCCGAGUGCCCUCAUGACCUUCUCGAUCUGCUGGGCGAGCUCUCUGGUCGGGGCGAGGACGAGGGCUUGGCACUGGACGAGGGAGUAGUCUAGCUGCUGGAGGACGCCGGAGCAGAAAGUGGCGGUUUUGCCGGUACCGGACUGAGCCUGCUGGAUCACGUCGAGGCCUUUGCAGAAGGGAACGAUUCCUCUUUGCUGGAUAGCAGAAGGCUUCUCGAAACCUAUUACAUAAAAGCACACUCGUGAGGUGAAGCUUGUAAACGAGAGAAGAAACUUUCUUUAGGUUUGUACACGUACCGUAAGCGUAGAUACCCCUGAGGAGAUUCUCUUGGAGACCCAUGGCGUCAAAGCUGUCGUGGGAUUCAUCGUAAGAGGUGAAGAACUCAUCCUGUCCUUCAAGACUGUUAACCAUACAAACACAAUUUAGCAACUAACAUGUGGGAAAGAGCAAAAAGUAAAGAGUGAAAAGGAAGAAGAGGACUGACACUUCGUUCAACUUCUGGUCGAACUGACGUGCAUCAAACUGAGUGCCUUCUGGUGCGGAUCCUGCCAUGACUACAUAACACAGAACAAACAACAAGUUAGACAUAAACAGGAACCAAAUUAAACAACAAGAGAGGAGAUUUAAAAAGACAAUCUUUAAGGUCUAAACAACAUCAAACACAAACAAAAAAAACAUCAGAGCUUAAAGUUCGGAUCUUUUUCCACAAAAAAAACAUGGGUCUUCUAAACCAAUCGUAGUGGUUUCAAAAUCUAACAAAACUAAAUCAACCUAAGCUGGGUGUAGAUCCUAGAAUAAAUAUUCGUCAUCAUCAUCAUCGGCUCAGAGUCUUAACAGAGAGAAGAGAAAAACAAAGUUAGAUUCGUAGUGGGCUAAACCGAUACCACGAGCCAAGAGAUCAGUGGUGAUAAGCACACGCGAGGAGCCAGACCUGAACUCUCUCAUAAUAAUGUCUCUAGUGUUCUGGUCCAUGUCUCCGUGAGUCGCAGACACCGUGUGGUCACGCCCCCUCAUUUUAUCAGUGAGCCAGUCAACCUUCCGCCUGGUGUUCACGAAGAUGACGCUCUGAGUGAUGGCCAGCGUCUCGUAGAGGUCGCAGAGCGUCUCGAGCUUCCACUCCUCCUUCUCAACGUUGACGUAAAACUGCUUGAUACCUUCCAAGGUGAGCUCGUCGCGCUUCACCAGGAUCCUCACCGGCUUGCUCAUGAACUUCCUCGUGAUCUCGAGAGCCUCCGGCGGCAUGGUCGCCGAGAAGACACCCACCUGGAUCUUGGGCGGGAGGAGCUGGAAGAUGUCGUAGAUCUGGUCCUUGAACCCGCGGGAGAGCAUCUCGUCGGCCUCGUCGAGGACGAAC
This 3379-nucleotide long non-coding RNA is filed under the name Brassica napus (rape). RNAcentral describes it as "long non-coding RNA (BNAP_LNC019166)". The record is from RNAcentral. Lineage: Eukaryota; Viridiplantae; Streptophyta; Magnoliopsida; Brassicales; Brassicaceae.